Molecule: ribosomal RNA, 468 nt
Filed under: uncultured bacterium
Lineage: Bacteria
Description: partial 16S ribosomal RNA
Rfam family: Bacterial small subunit ribosomal RNA
Source: RNAcentral
GAUGAACGCUGGCGGCGUGCUUAACACAUGCAAGUCGAACGGAAAGGCCCUGCUUUUGUGGGGUUCUCGAGUGGCGAACGGGUGAGUAUCACGUGUGUAUCCUGCCCUUGUCUUUCGGAUAACAUCAGGAAACUGGGGCUAAUACCGGAUAGGAGCUCCUGCUCCAUGGUGGGCGUUGGAAAGUUUCGGCUGUUGGGGAUGGACUAGCGGCUUAUCCGCUUGUUGGUGGGGUAGUGGCUGACCAAGGCUUUGACGGGUAGGCGGCCUGAGAGGGGGACCGGCCACAAUGGGACUGCGGGACGGCCCAGUCGGCUACGGGAGGCAGCAGGGGGGAGUAUGGCACAAUGGGCCGAAGUCUGAUGCAGCAGCGCUGGGUGCGGGAAGACCGCCUUCGGGGUGAAAACCGCUGUCGCCUGUGACGAAGCGGGAGUGACGGUAAUGGGUAAAGAAGCACCGGCUAACUACGUG